RNAcentral lists this non-coding RNA (28 nucleotides) under Rattus norvegicus (Norway rat). Lineage: Eukaryota; Metazoa; Chordata; Mammalia; Rodentia; Muridae. The record is from RNAcentral.
UAUUGAGUGCUUGAUAUGUGCCAGAUGA